Molecule: long non-coding RNA, 623 nt
Filed under: Sphaeramia orbicularis (orbiculate cardinalfish)
Lineage: Eukaryota; Metazoa; Chordata; Actinopteri; Kurtiformes; Apogonidae
Description: lncRNA (ENSSORG00005005258.1)
Source: RNAcentral
CUAUUAAUUUGUACAAAAAAAACACAUCAGUAAAAGGAGUUGUGGAUGUUUUGCAGAGAUGCUGAAAUGGUCAUAACAGAGCAACGUAAACCUGGCUUCGUGUCCACGGCUUCCUCUAAUGUCACAAUAAGUAGAACAAGGCCUCCCUCUGCUCCAGCAUCUGCCGUCCCUCCAGUUAACGUUGCUCCGUUCAGACCUGCACAAUUAAUGGAUGUUUCACCCCAGACCCCUCAGUCCAACAUGGGUGUUAAACAUGGGAAUCACCCGCCUGUAAAAUCCCCACCCAGACGGCCAGCUGUGGAAUCUAUUAGCUCUUCAACCACUGCUCCAGCCAAUCACGGAAAUCCGUCAGGUGCUAAAAAGGGAAAGUAUUUGUCACCCACCAACGCCUCCAAGACUGAAAUGAGGUCACCCUCUGUGAAGUCUUAUCAUAUCCCAGUGCUGCAGAUUGAGAGGGAACUGAAUGAUAUUGAGACAAACUUGGCUCAGCUGGAGAGGGAGGGUGUGGAGCUGGAAAAGAAACUCCGCAGCUGUGAACAAGGUAUUUUUCCUCUUACAACCCACCCUUUCUUGUGGGUAUUUUUAGCCACUAGAAUUCAGUGUUGGCAUGUUAAAAAACAGUA